This 440-nucleotide ribosomal RNA is filed under the name uncultured bacterium. RNAcentral describes it as "bacterial SSU rRNA". It matches the Rfam family "Bacterial small subunit ribosomal RNA", at positions 338 to 795 of the family's 1533-position model. The record is from RNAcentral.
CCUACGGGUGGCAGCAGUGGGGAAUAUUGCACAAUGGGGGAAACCCUGAUGCAGCAACGCCGCGUGAGCGAUGAAGGCCUUCGGGUCGUAAAGCUCUGUCCUAAGGGAAGAAUACUGACGGUACCUUAGGUGGAAGCCCCGGCUAACUACGUGCCAGCAGCCCCGGCCAUACGUAGGGGGCUAGCGUUAUUCGCAAUUACAGGGCGUAAAGAGUGCGUAGGCGGCCCUUCAGGCCAGAGGUGAAAGGCUAAGGCACAACCGUAGUAAGCCUUUGAAACUGCAGGGCUUGAGUGCAGAAGAGGAGAGUGGAAUUCCGAGUGUAGCGGUGAAAUGCGUAGAUAUUGGGAGGAAAACCAGUUGCGAAGGCGGCUCUCUUGACUGUAACUGACGCUGAGGCACGAAAGCGUGGGGAGCGAACAGGAUUAGAUACCCUAGUAGUC